GUGCGCCUACACAUGCAAGUCGAGCGAACCUUCGAGGGGAGCGGCGAACGGCUGCGUAACACGUUGGAACCUACCCCGUACUCAGGGAUAACAUGCCGAAAGGUGUGCUAAUACCGGAUAGUCCCGCAAGGGUAAAGAUUUUUCGGUACGGGAGGGGCCUGCGGCGUAUCAGCUUGUUGGUAAGGUAAUGGCUUACCAAGGCUAUGACGCGUAGCUGGUCUGAGAGGACGACCAGCCAGAAUGGGACUGAGACACGGCCCAUACUCCUACGGGAGGCAGCAGUGAGGAAUCUUCCGCAAUGGGCGAAAGCCUGACGGAGCGACACCGCGUGGUGGAUGAAACUGAUUUUCAGCGUAAACACCUGUCCUGAGGGACGAAACUUUUGACGGUGCCUCAGAAGAAAGCACCGGCUAAUUCCGUGCCAGCAGCCGCGGUAAUACGGAAGGUGCAAGCGUUACUC
RNAcentral lists this ribosomal RNA (460 nucleotides) under uncultured bacterium. Its description in RNAcentral is "bacterial SSU rRNA". It matches the Rfam family "Bacterial small subunit ribosomal RNA", at positions 42 to 546 of the family's 1533-position model. The record is from RNAcentral.